UGGGGAAUAUUGCACAAUGGGCGCAAGCCUGAUGCAGCCAUGCCGCGUGUAUGAAGAAGGCCUUCGGGUUGUAAAGUACUUUCAGUCGGGAGGAAGGUGGUAAGGUUAAUAACCUUAUCAAUUGACGUUACCGACAGAAGAAGCACCGGCUAACUCCGUGCCAGCAGCCGCGGUAAUACGGAGGGUGCAAGCGUUAAUCGGAAUUACUGGGCGUAAAGCGCACGCAGGCGGUCUGUCAAGUCGGAUGUGAAAUCCCCGGGCUCAACCUGGGAACUGCAUUCGAAACUGGCAGGCUAGAGUCUUGUAGAGGGGGGUAGAAUUCCAGGUGUAACGGUGAAAUGCGUAGAGAUCUGGGGGAAUACCGGUGGCGAAGGCGGCCCCCUGGACAAAGACUGACGCUCAGGUGCGAAAGCGUGGGGAGCAAACAGG
Molecule: ribosomal RNA, 429 nt
Filed under: Chloroflexota bacterium
Lineage: Bacteria; Bacillati; Chloroflexota
Description: Chloroflexi bacterium partial 16S ribosomal RNA
Rfam family: Bacterial small subunit ribosomal RNA
Source: RNAcentral